RNAcentral lists this ribosomal RNA (438 nucleotides) under uncultured bacterium. RNAcentral describes it as "partial 16S ribosomal RNA". It matches the Rfam family "Bacterial small subunit ribosomal RNA", at positions 28 to 507 of the family's 1533-position model. The record is from RNAcentral.
GAUGAACGCUGGCGGUAUGCUUAACACAUGCAAGUCGAACGCAGACUUUCGGGUCUGAGUGGCGGACGGGUGCGUAACGCGGGAGAAUCUGGCUGCAGGUUGGGGACAACCACGGGUAACGUUGGCUAAUACCCAAUGUGCCGUUAAGGGUAAAGAUUAAUGGCCUGAAGAUUCGGUCGCGUAAGAUUUGCUAGAUGGUGGGGUAAGAGCUCACCAAGGCGACGAUAAGUAGCAGAUCUGAAAGGACGAUCGGCCACGCUGCUACUGAGACGCAGCACAGGGGCAUACUGGAGGAAGCGGGAGAGAAUGAUCCAGCAUGGCCGAGAGCGUGACGAAGCACUACCGCGUGUGAAACGAAGGCACUUGGGAUGAAAACCUGUUUUCUCAGAGAAGAAGGCAAUGACGGUACCUGAGGAAUAAGCAUCGGCUAACUCCGUG